GUUCAAAGCCAGCCUCAGCAACGUAGCAAGGCCCUAAGCAACUCAGCGAGACCCUGUCUCUAAAUAAAAAAUAAAAAGAGCUGGGGAUGGGGCUCAGUGGUUGAGCACCCCUGGGUUCAAUCCCCGGUGAAAGAAAACAGGGAAGGAGGAAGAGAGAGAGAGAGAGAGAGAGGGUGUUCUUGGGCGCCUACCACCUGCCCAGGUCUUGCCCAUCCCUCUCUACCCUUGAGAGGACCCAUCCUCCUCCCCCAUUCUUCAAAGGGACAGCCUGUGCCCCGGUAGCUCAUGUCCCAAGGUGCACCCAAGGGCAGACCGGGUUCUCCCGUCCUGGGGAGUGGGUCCGUUUCUGCUUUUAUCUUUUGGAGCCUUUGCUGAUGGCUGGCGAUAGGGCUCCGUACCCGGGGCCCUGCCCUGCUCUUUAGCAAACAUUCCCCUUAGAUGCAUCAUCCCGCGGGUCACCUGGGAAGCCCCCGCGCAUUUGAUCCAUUUUUAUGGCCUAAAACCACAAACAGGAAGCGGUCUUCACAGACACACAGGAGUCCAGUUAGGCCCAUCCAAGGCCCUGGGUUGAAGAGUCUUCCCUGGGGACUGGGUUGAGGCCGAGAACCUCUGUCCCAUCCUGUCCCCUAAACACAGCGUCCUAUAGCCCAGGCCUGACCUGAGUCAGGAUGAGGGAGUGUCAGGUCCAGGGAGGGCCACUGACCGGGCCCCUGCUGGCCACAUACCCGCCCAUGCCGCCCCCACCCCACACCAGCUCCCUCCUGCUCUGCAUUCAUGGAAGACUUCCAGCAAGAUGGUCACCUACAAGGUGACAACUCUGUGGGUGCAGCCGGCCGUCCUGAGACGGCUGUCCUUUGAUGACUGUGACAGGUACAAUUUGGGGAAGGUCU
Molecule: long non-coding RNA, 890 nt
Filed under: Marmota monax (woodchuck)
Lineage: Eukaryota; Metazoa; Chordata; Mammalia; Rodentia; Sciuridae
Source: RNAcentral